Molecule: ribosomal RNA, 661 nt
Filed under: uncultured beta proteobacterium
Lineage: Bacteria; Pseudomonadati; Pseudomonadota; Betaproteobacteria
Description: bacterial SSU rRNA
Rfam family: Bacterial small subunit ribosomal RNA
Source: RNAcentral
AGAGUUUGAUCAUGGCUCAGAUUGAACGCUGGCGGCAUGCCUUACACAUGCAAGUCGAACGGCAGCACGGGAGCAAUCCUGGUGGCGAGUGGCGAACGGGUGAGUAAUAUAUCGGAACGUGCCCAGUCGUGGGGGAUAACGCAGCGAAAGCUGUGCUAAUACCGCAUACGAUCUAUGGAUGAAAGCGGGGGACUCGCAAGAGCCUCGCGCGAUUGGAGCGGCCGAUAUCAGAUUAGCUAGUUGGCGGGGUAAAAGCCCACCAAGGCGACGAUCUGUAGCUGGUCUGAGAGGACGACCAGCCACACUGGAACUGAGACACGGUCCAGACUCCUACGGGAGGCAGCAGUGGGGAAUUUUGGACAAUGGGCGAAAGCCUGAUCCAGCAAUGCCGCGUGCAGGAUGAAGGCCUUCGGGUUGUAAACUGCUUUUGUACGGAACGAAACGGUCUGUCCUAAUACGAUGGGCUAAUGACGGUACCGUAAGAAUAAGCACCGGCUAACUACGUGCCAGCAGCCGCGGUAAUACGUAGGGUGCGAGCGUUAAUCGGAAUUACUGGGCGUAAAGCGUGCGCAGGCGGUUAUGUAAGACAGAUGUGAAAUCCCCGGGCUCAACCUGGGACCUGCAUUUGUGACUGCAUAGCUAGAGUACGGUAGAGGGGGAU